Molecule: ribosomal RNA, 301 nt
Filed under: uncultured bacterium
Lineage: Bacteria
Description: partial 16S ribosomal RNA
Rfam family: Bacterial small subunit ribosomal RNA
Source: RNAcentral
CAGUAGCCACGGGAAUACGGAGGGUGCAAGCGUUAAUCGGAAUUACUGGGCGUAAAGCGUGCGUAGGCGGUUCGUUAAGUCUGUUGUGAAAGCCCCGGGCUCAACCUGGGAAUGGCAAUGGAUACUGGCGAGCUAGAGUGUGUCAGAGGAUGGCGGAAUUCCCGGUGUAGCGGUGAAAUGCGUAGAGAUCGGGAGGAACAUCAGUGGCGAAGGCGGCCAUCUGGGACAACACUGACGCUGAGGCACGAAAGCGUGGGGAGCAAACAGGAUUAGAUACCCGCGUAGUCCCUGUCUCUUAACA